Non-coding RNA from Physcomitrium patens, 637 nucleotides. Lineage: Eukaryota; Viridiplantae; Streptophyta; Bryopsida; Funariales; Funariaceae. The record is from RefSeq and is a predicted model, not a curated record.
AGGCAGCCGAAUCAUACGUAUUAUGUCAUGCUGCAUGUUGAUGGUAAUCCUGAAAUUGAUGAGCCUGUAGGCAAAUUCGUUGCCAGCUCCCGAUACAGUAAAUUCAUGUUUAGGCUCAUCUUCCUCUUCAGCGAACAGCGGUGGAUUGGCUUGGUCGGGGAGAGGAGGCAUCAACCUUGUUGGGGUUUUUAUUUUAAGAAGCAUGCUUCGUGACGACUAUUUGCUUCAGUCUCUUCGCGAAAGUGGCUUUGUUCUAUUUGCCGCCAAAGCUCUACCCUUUUACAUGUUCGUUACCAAACAAGGUCAAAUCACGCGUUCCUCAGUGGUCUGAAAUGAGUACACAGCCUCUUUCUUUGCUAUUCCAGCCUUUGUGUGGUUCCUGUUGCCUAGACUAAAUGGAGGUAUAGAACAACUAAAUUGUUCCAGGUUGAGUUGGGUGUCUGUCUUGGAAAGGGCAGGGAUCCAGCUUGGCCAAAGGUAAUGUAGCAGUGUCUCUUCUCCCUGUUGUGAAAUGUAUGGCCACAUCACCUCAUCUUCUUCUUUUAUUGUCUGAUGUUAGGUGUUUGUACAUGCACCUUAUUAAUGUUUAGCUCAUGUAGUUGCUGGUAAUAAGAGGACAAAGUUGCAUUUGAUACUA